GCGGUCAUCGUUCAACAGCAGGACGCCGGUCUUCCAAACCGGCUAUGCCGGUGCAAUUCCGGCUGACCGCA
This 71-nucleotide transfer RNA is filed under the name Verrucomicrobiaceae bacterium. It matches the Rfam family "tRNA". From Rfam's summary of the family: Transfer RNA (tRNA) molecules are approximately 80 nucleotides in length. The record is from Rfam by way of RNAcentral. Lineage: Bacteria; Pseudomonadati; Verrucomicrobiota; Verrucomicrobiia; Verrucomicrobiales; Verrucomicrobiaceae.